RNAcentral lists this long non-coding RNA (733 nucleotides) under Pongo abelii (Sumatran orangutan). RNAcentral describes it as "lincRNA". The record is from RNAcentral. Lineage: Eukaryota; Metazoa; Chordata; Mammalia; Primates; Hominidae.
CGCCACUGUCCAGAACAGACGAUAAGAAUUUCACGGGACUUUUGUCUGGAAGUUUGCGGUUGACAAGGCGUUUUUACCUACAUGAUCACAGUAACUUUCCCAGCAAGGCUGUUAGCUAGAGAAGGUGCCCGCCCCGCCCUGGAGCCUGAGUGAGGACGAGCUGCAGCCUUGUCCAAGAGAAAGGCCCGGGGGACCCAGCCACCCACCUCCUUGCUCCCCACCACCCUUCGUUCCAAGGAGCACUCAAGACCAAGCCUAGGACUCGCAACAAAGCUUGGUUCCUAACUAGACCGGCGGGGACUGACUAGGAAUGGAAUCCAGGCAAACACCUGGCCGAUCAUAAUCAGAUGUUACUAAAUAUUCAUAAGGAUUACAAUCAGCACCUAGCACAGUGUCUGGGACAUGGCAAGUGCUCAAUAUUUAUAGAAGAAAAGAGUGAAUAAAUCAAGAAAUCGUCAUUAAACACCAAAAUUGUGUUUAACAGAACCAAACAGCACCACGCCCUAUUGACCCUGACCUGAAGCUUCUGAUGGAGAAGGCCCUUGAACUCCCAGGCCCUCCCUGUAAGCAGGUUGGGCAGUGCAGAGGGCACAGGGCACAGCGCAAAGCCACGGGGAAAGAUGAGCAGGGUGCUACCCACAGGAAGGUGCCCUCCCGAUCCCCCCACAGCCUCUGCCCCCUGUGAACACAGCGGCCUGUCUUCUCUGGGCCUCUUCCCUUUUCUCUGCGUCCU